Molecule: long non-coding RNA, 604 nt
Organism: Aegilops tauschii subsp. strangulata
Lineage: Eukaryota; Viridiplantae; Streptophyta; Magnoliopsida; Poales; Poaceae
Source: RefSeq, a predicted model, not a curated record
AAUAUCUCCCAACCUGUUCCGUGCCCCCGUCUCUCCCAGCCCAGCCCACCCCGUACCCAACCCCUCUCAAUCUCCGGCGACCGUCCCAACUCCGGCCACCGGAUCCGCUUCCCCGGCCAGUUGCCGGCCCAACAACGACGGAUUCAUGGUCGGACGACCUCGUCUUCACCAGAGAUCCAGCGAGGCAGGUUGGCGGCGACGACGUGGCUUUCCCUGGCCGGCACGAGGCUCCCGUCCUCCUUCGUCCUUGUUGCCCGUCCGCUGGUCUCGCCAUGAGUGGAUCUCGCAGCGCGGCCCCCACGACGCGUCCCUGCGCGCGGUUGCCGCCGGAUCCGACGACUCCAAGCAUGGCCGCCGCCAGAUCCCUUCCACUUUCUCUCUCCCGCGGACUUGGCUGCAUCCCUCUGAUGGCCUCCCCUGCUCCUUGCCGUGGAUUCAGUUUCAGUUCUUGUUAUGUGAAGAUAAUUAGUUAUUGUUUUCUGGAGGUGAAAUGAGAAUUCAAUAGUUAUAUUUGAUGUGAAUUGUGAAACAACUGAAAUACAACUUGUGCACUUUCAGUGCAAUUACAAUAUAUUUCAAUUGUGAAUCAAGUUAAAUUUCUUUC